AUGUUCUUGUCGGGGUGCCUUGAAGCAAAGGCUGAGAUCGCAAAGUUGCGGAUCCCGUUGAACCUGAUCAGGUUAGCGCCUGCGUAGGGAACAAGAUUGCUCGCCUU
Non-coding RNA from Pseudomonas putida S11, 107 nucleotides. The record is from Rfam. NCBI's taxonomy places the organism in Bacteria, Pseudomonadati, Pseudomonadota, Gammaproteobacteria, Pseudomonadales, Pseudomonadaceae.